This 399-nucleotide ribosomal RNA is filed under the name uncultured bacterium. RNAcentral's name for it is "bacterial SSU rRNA". It matches the Rfam family "Bacterial small subunit ribosomal RNA", at positions 29 to 428 of the family's 1533-position model. The record is from RNAcentral.
AUUGAACGCUGGCGGCGUGCCUAACACAUGCAAGUCGAGCGGUAACAGGUGUAGCAAUACAUGCUGACGAGCGGCGGACGGGUGAGUAACGCUUGGGAAUCUGCCUGUUAGUGGGGGACAACCCGGGGAAACGUCGGGCUAAUACCGCAUACGCACUACGGUGGAAAGCCGGGGACCGCAAGGCCUGGCGCUAACAGAUGAGCCCAAGUCGGAUUAGCUAGUUGGUAGGGUAACGGCCUACCAAGGCGACGAUCCGUAACUGGUCUGAGAGGACGACCAGUCACACCGGAACUGAGACACGGUCCGGACUCCUACGGGAGGCAGCAGUGGGGAAUCUUGCGCAAUGGGCGAAAGCCUGACGCAGCGACGCCGCGUGAGGGAUGACGGCCUCGGUUGUAA